GAUGAACGCUGGCGGCGUGCCUAAUACAUGCAAGUCGAGCGAACAGACCAGGAGCUUUCUCCUCUGACGUUAUCGGCGGACGGGUGCGUACCACGUGUAUGACCUACCUAUCAGACUGGGAUACCUUCGGGAAACCAGAUCUUCUACCGGAUAAUAUAUUGCACCUCAUUGUUCAAUAGUUCAAGACGCUUUUUCUGUCACUUAUAGCUGGAUCCGCGUCGCAUUCGCUAGUUUGUAAGGUAAAGGCUUACCAAGGCAACGAUGCGUAACCCACCUGAGAGGGUGAUCGGACAGACGGGAAGAGAGACACGGUAGAGACACAGAGGGGAGGCAGCAGUAGGGAAUCUUACGCAAGGGGCGAAAGCGUGACGGAGGAACGCCGCGUGAGUGAUGAAGGUCUUCGGAUCGGAAAACUCUGUUAUUAGGGAAGAAGAAAAGUGUAAGUAACUAGGCAGGUAUUGACGGUACCUAAUGAGAAAGCAACGGCUAACUACGUG
This 497-nucleotide ribosomal RNA is filed under the name uncultured bacterium. RNAcentral describes it as "partial 16S ribosomal RNA". It matches the Rfam family "Bacterial small subunit ribosomal RNA", at positions 28 to 507 of the family's 1533-position model. The record is from RNAcentral.